ACUUACUGUGUGCAUAAAUCACAUUUUCGGUGUCGAAUAUAAUCCGUUUUUUCCUGGAAUUGUGAUGUGGUCUGUUCCUAAAUCCAUCAGUUCUCUUUAGUGUUUGCCAAUGUUGGAGGUGUAACUGGGGUCUGGCCCUGGACAAAGGUAUAGAGCAUGGCUCAAGUGAAAGUGCAGACCUCAACGCCCCUGGCUGGCCCUGGCUUCUCCCCCCUGUCUCCCCUCGGGGCCAUGCCCAGUCCAGGACCCUUGGGUCUACAGCCCUCAGUCAAUGGCCCUGGGCCCACCCCCGGCUGCCUCGCUCCCUCAGCCGGGUAUGGGCCCGACACCCCUGUGUCUGCCAACUCACCAGAACAAUGUAACAACUCGUCUGGUCCAGGCCCACCCCAGGAGAACAUGGCAAACCCUAAAGAGAAAACUCCCAUGUGUCUGGUGAAUGAGUUAGCCCGUUUCAACAGGAUCCAACCGCAGUACAAGCUGCUCAACGAGAGAGGCCCUGCACACGCUAAGAUCUUUACAGUGCAGCUGUGUCUGGAGGAGCAGGUGUGGGAGGCGGAGGGCACCAGCAUCAAGAAGGCUCAGCACUCCACCGCCUGCCUUGCCCUCACUGAGAGCCUUCUGCCCAGGCCCGCUCCUCGCUCUCCUACAAUGGACGUCAACAGCAACCCAGGUAGUAUCACCCCUACGGUGGAGCUGAAUGGUCUGGCUAUGAAGAGAGGUGAGCCAGCCAUCUACCGUCCCCUGGACCCCAAGCCCAUGCCCAACUACAGAGCCAACUAUAACUUCAGAGGCAUGUUCAACCAGAGGUACCACUACCCAGUUCCAAAGAUCUUCUAUGUCCAGUUGUCUGUGGGCACUAAUGAGUUUAUUGGAGAGGGCCGGACUCGCCAGGCAGCCCGUCACAACGCCGCCACGAAGGCCCUGCAAGCCCUCCGCAAUGAACCCAUACCUGAACGACCACCUCAGAGCCCUGAGGAGCAGAAGGAGCUGGAUGAGGGGAGUGAUGCCUCUAAGUCAGAAAUCAGUCUGGUUUACGAGAUAGCCCUCAAGAGGAACCUGUCUGUCUGCUUCGAGGUCUUGAAGGAAAGCGGCCCCCCUCACAUGAAGAGCUUCCUGACCCGUGUGUCAGUGGGAGAGUUCUCAGCAGAGGGCGAGGGGAACAGUAAGAAGCUGUCUAAGAAGAGGGCUGCUCUCUCCAUUCUCCAGGACCUCAAGAAACUCCCCUUCACCCCGUUAGUGGAGAAACCCAAACUACACUACAAGAAACGCCCCAAGACCAUCCUCAAGACAGGUCCUGAUUAUGGCCAGGGGAUGAACCCCAUCAGUAGACUGGCUCAGAUACAGCAGGCCAAGAAGGAGAAGGAACCGGAAUACCUCUUGCUGUCUGAGAGAGGAAUCCCCCGACGCAGGGAGUUCAUCAUGCAGUCUGUGCAGGUGAAGGUGUGUGGCGAGGUAGCCACGGGAACAGGGCCAAAUAAGAAGGUGGCGAAGCGGAAUGCUGCCGAGGCCAUGCUACUGCAGCUGGGAUACAAGGCCUCCACCUGCCCACAGAGCCCUACUGAGAUGGACGACAAAGGCUGGAACGGACAAAAGACGGCUUUUAACGAAACUACGACUAACACCCAGAAGGGUCUACUCCACCUCUCCCCGGACGUCUAUCAAGAGAUGGAGGCGAGCAGGAAACAGGGGGCCCCUGUUAACUACCUAACCCCCAAACUAUCUGAUCCCCUGGUCGUCCCUCUGUCCCCUGGACACACCCCCUACUACAGCCCCCCCGCAGUUGCCACGGCAGCCAUGGCGAGGGAGCUGUUGAUGAACGGGUCAGGAGAGGGGAGGUCUGGGGAGAACAUAGGACUGAAGGGGAAGAGCUCUGUCCAGCCCUCACAGCAACUAGAGUACCUGGCUCAAAUACAAGGCUUCCAGGUGCUGUACAGCGAUGGUCAGAAUGGUAGAGAGUUCAUGACCUACCUGACACUCUCACCUGUACAGAUGACUUUCCACGGCAUCGGGAGCUCCAUCGAAGCCAGCCACGACCAGGCUGCUCUAAGUGCCUUGAAACAGCUGUCGGAACAGGGACUGGACACGGUGGACUGCCCUAUCAAGAGCAGCGAGGUGUGUGUCAGAGAGGACGGACACUGAACAGACUAACUCAGGCACCACCCACCACUCAGGUCGCCGUGGAUACAACAGGCUGUCGUCAAGGAGUUGACCCCUGACUCUUUCCCCAGUCACCUAUGACCCCUAUCCCCCCCCCCCCCCCCCCCCCACGACCGCCGCAGCAUCCUGGCAACAACCUGGAACAACAUACAACGGAGUGUGUGGAUGUGUACCGUGAAGAGAGAAAAAAAAAAAAAUGAAAUAACCGACUAACUAGAAAAAGAUGGGGAAAAACCUAUGAGUCUCUAUGUGAAGACAACACUAUUCUAACACAUUACAUGUAUUGAUCAUUUACCAGGAAUUUAAAUUUAAAAAAUAAAUACAAAUAUAUAUAUAAUAAUUUAAAAAAAAAUAGAUUGAGUAUAAACACCUAGAUUUUCCCUGUUGGAUAGAUGUGGAAUGAUAUGGGUCAAACCCCCAAUACAGUUGGAUAGAUGUGUAAUGAUAUGGGUCGAAACCCCCAAUACAGUUGGAUAGAUGUGUAAUGAUAUGGGUCGAAACCCCCAAUACAGUUGGAUAGAUGUGUAAUGAUAUGGGUCGAAACCCCCAAUACAGUUGGAUAGAUGUGUAAUGAUAUGGGUCGAAACCCCCAAUACAGUUGGAUAGAUGUGUAAUGAUAUGGGUCGAAACCCAAUAUGUAUAUCAUGCCAUGAAGACAGAGGCAACAUUAUAGGGGGACAAAGUUGUGUAGCUUAUUUUCCAAAGGGGGUAAUUAUGUUUCUGUUUAUUUUCUAGUUUAUUCAUCUAACAAUGCUUGAGUACUGACUGUAUUAUAAAAUUAGCCAAUAGCAGUGCUGUGAAAGUUGUAGCAGUUGUCUUCUCAUACAGUAAUAUUCACCCAGCUUAUCUUUCAUGCUGAUAUUAAUAAAAUCAACCAAAAAAAAAAUAAUAUUAUAUUAUAUUACUUAAUCAUCUAUCUAUAUGGGAUGUGAAUGACUUGCAGAAAUAUCAUAUGCACAGAAAAAAGGUUUCUUCACAUGGACAAAAAGGCCAAACUGGUGUUUAGCAUUAAGCAAUAGAGAUAGCAGGCAGGGUGAGGGUCUAUUCAAUUGGAAGUCAGUCAAAUUCAGGAAGGGAUUUGAAGUUAAAACUUUUUAAAAAAAAUGUAAAGCAACUUUUUUUUUAAAUGUAUAAAUAGCUCAUUUUCAAUUAAUUAAGAAAUCAAUGAAAAUGGAUGCCGUUCUGUUCAAUAAUUGAAUUGCAAUUUCAGUUUAUUUCCUGAAUUGACUGACCUCAAUUUGAAUUGAGCCCGACUCUGCUAUCAGGUGACUGUGAUGUGGUUAGGAGGAAGGUUGGGCCAACCUCUCUGGGUCCUGCAGAGAGAAGCAGCAGGUUGGGCCAACCUCUCUGGGUCCUGCAGAGAGAAGCAGCAGGUUGGGCCAACCUCUCUGGGUCCUGCAGAGAGAAGCAGCAGGUUGGGCCAACCUCUCUGGGUCCUGCAGAGGGAAGCAGCAGGUUGGGCCAACCUCUCUGGGUCCUGCAGAGAGAAGCAGCAGGUUAGGCCAACCUCUCUGGGUCCUGCAGAGGGAAGCAGCAGGUUGGGCCAACCUCUCUGGGUCCUGCAGAGGGAAGCAGCAGGUUGGGCCAACCUCUCUGGGUCCUGCAGAGAGAAGCAGCAGGUUGGGCCAACCUCUCUGGGUCCUGCAGAGGGAAGCAGCAGGUUGGGCCAACCUCUCUGGGUCCUGCAGAGAGAAGCAGCAGGUUGGGCCAACCUCUCUGGGUCCUGCAGAGGGAAGCAGCAGGUUGGGCCAACCUCUCUGGGUCCUGCAGAGAGAAGCAGCAGGUUGGGCCAACCUCUCUGGGUCCUGCAGAGGGAUAUACUAUGAAGCAGGAUCAAGGAAUUCGCCAGACAGAAAUAACAGAUUUUCUGAUUCAUUAAAAAAGCUCAACUUAUAUAUAUGAGUUGUUGGUUGUUGAAGCAAUCAAGACCAAUUAAGAAUGUUUCUGCAAGUUAGCUGGCAAACUCCUUGAUCCUAAUUUGUAGUAUACCCCCUUGGUCUGCCUGACCUCGUGUAAGGACACUUCACCACAGACAGCAUCACUAGAAUGGGUUCUUCUCACCAGAGAGGUAGAGGAGAGUUUGGCAGCCAUGUUGGUAAGGACCUAAAAGCAUAAUACUGUAAAGUGUGUAAUGUAACAAGCCUACUCGCCUACCAUAGAGGCUGCCUACCUUUCUAGAACGCAGAUAGUAGCAGAGUAUUCUGGAAUGGACAAGGUGUUCUAGAAUACACCUGAUGGGUUCUAGAAAGGACACCAUGUUGUUGAUUAUAAUGAUGACAUGGCAUUUAGUGACUGAAAGUCUCUAAUAGACCAGUGAUUCUAUGUUCGUGGAUUUUUUCCCCCUUCUCUUCCCUCCCUCCACAGUUAAGUCGAUUACAUCUACACCCAUUGUGUGUGUUAUAUUGGCCCGAUGCCACCAAGGCAUCAACUGGGUGCUUUUAAUCUGUGUAUUCUGAACCCUGUGAGCAAAAGAUGUUUAAAAGAUGCUUAAAUACAUAUGUUAUAUUGAAAAGACGUCUUUUCGACAUCUUGUGCUCACUGGGAAUCAUCUCUGAAGUGGCGAAACCAUCCAACCAUUAAUUAGCAGGGUUUCACCCAUUCAGAGAUCACUUGAAUCUAGGGUUGCGAAAUUCCCGGUAACUCUCCCAAAAUGACCCGGUUUCCCAGAAAUCCUGGUAGUGAGACCAGGAAUCGUCCAACCAGGAUUUCUGGGAAAACACUGGGAUUUAUUUUAUUUUUUGUGUGGAAAAAUGAUCCUAAUUUUGCAACCCGACUUGGAGCACUUGUUCACUGACGUGGAGGAUGUGGGAGGAGCAACGUGUUAUAAGUAAAGUCGCCUCGGUUCCUGUUGA
Molecule: non-coding RNA, 5009 nt
Organism: Oncorhynchus mykiss (rainbow trout)
Lineage: Eukaryota; Metazoa; Chordata; Actinopteri; Salmoniformes; Salmonidae
Source: RefSeq, a predicted model, not a curated record